Molecule: ribosomal RNA, 515 nt
Filed under: uncultured bacterium
Lineage: Bacteria
Description: partial 16S ribosomal RNA
Rfam family: Bacterial small subunit ribosomal RNA
Source: RNAcentral
GGUGAACGCUGGCGGCGUGCCUAAUACAUGCAAGUCGAGCGAAUGGAUUAAGAGCUUGCUCUUAUGAAGUUAGCGGCGGACGGGUGAGUAACACGUGGGUAACCUGCCCAUAAGACUGGGAUAACUCCGGGAAACCGGGGCUAAUACCGGAUAACAUUUUGAACCGCAUGGUUCGAAAUUGAAAGGCGGCUUCGGCUGUCACUUAUGGAUGGACCCGCGUCGCAUUAGCUAGUUGGUGAGGUAACGGCUCACCAAGGCAACGAUGCGUAGCCGACCUGGGAGGGUGACCGGCCACACUGGGACUGAGACACGGCCCAGACUCCUACGGGAGGCAGCAGUAGGGAAUCUUCCGCAAUGGACGAAAGUCUGACGGAGCAACGCCGCGUGAGUGAUGAAGGCUUUCGGGUCGUAAAACUCUGUUGUUAGGGAAGAACAAGUGCUAGUUGAAUAAGCUGGCACCUUGACGGUACCUAACCAGAAAGCCACGGCUAACUACGUGCCAGCAGCCGCCGCCG